RNAcentral lists this ribosomal RNA (1237 nucleotides) under metagenome. Its description in RNAcentral is "bacterial LSU rRNA". It matches the Rfam family "Bacterial large subunit ribosomal RNA", at positions 1569 to 2815 of the family's 2925-position model. The record is from RNAcentral.
ACGAGAUGCUACGGCAUCGAAGCAGUCUAUGUCAUACUUCCAAGGAAAGCUUGCACUGUCAUAAACAAAGAAUGCCUGUACCAUAACCGACACAGGUGGGUAGGUAGAGUAUACUAAGGGGCGCGAGAUAACUCUCUCUAAGGAACUCGGCAAAAUGACUCCGUAACUUCGGGAGAAGGAGUGCCUUAUUUCUAAGGUUGCAAUAACAAGAUCCAAGCAACUGUUUACCAAGAACACAGGUCUCCGCUAAGUCGUAAGACGAUGUAUGGGGGCUGACGCCUGCCCAGUGCCAGAAGGUUAAAGAAGUUGGUUAGCAUUAGCGAAGCUGAUAACUGAAGCCCUGGUGAACGGCGGCCGUAACAAUAACGGUCCUAAGGUAGCGAAAUUCCUUGUCGGGUAAGUUCCGACCCGCACGAAAGGCGUAAUGAUUUGGAUACUGUCUCGGAGAGGGGCUCGGUGAAAUAGACUUGUCUGUGAAGAUGCGGACUACCUGCACCUGGACAGAAAGACCCUAUGAAGCUUUACUGUAACUUGAGAUUGAAAUUGGACUUUAUUUGCGCAGUAUAGGUGGGAGGCGUUGAGAAUAAUCUUGCGGGAUUGUUGGAGCCAUCAGUGAGAUACCACUCUUGUAAUGUUAGAUUUCUAACUUUGUAUCAUUAUCUGGUCAAAGAACAGUUUCAGGCGGGCAGUUUGACUGGGGCGGUCGCCUCCCAAAGGGUAACGGAGGCGCACAAAGGUUUCCUCUGAACGGGUAGAAAUCGUAUCUAGAGUGUAAAGGCAUAAGGAAGCUUGACUGUGAGACCUACAAGUCGAGCAGGGACGAAAGUCGGUCUUAGUGAUCUGACGGUGCUGAGUGGGAAGGCCGUCACUCAACGGAUAAAAGUUACUCUAAGGAUAACAGGCUGAUCUCCCCCAAGAGUUCACAUCGACGGGGAGGUUUGGCACCUCGAUGUCGGCUCAUCGCAUCCUGGGGCGGUAGUCCGUCCCAAGGGUUGGGCUGUUCGCCCAUGAAAGCGGUACGCGAGCUGGGUUCAGAACGUCGUGAGACAGCUCGGUCCAUAUCCGGUGUAGGCGUUAGAAUAUUGAGAGGAGCCUUCUCUAGUACGAGAGGACCGAGAAGGACAUACCUCUGGUGUACCAGUUAUCGUGCCAACGGUAAACGCUGGGUAGCUAUGUAUGGAGUGGAUAACCGCUGAAAGCAUCUAAGUGGGAAGCCCACCUCAAGAUAAGUAUUCGC